UUGAGUAGCAAUACUUAAUGAGAGUGGCGCACGGGUGCGUAACGCGUAUGCAACCUACCUUUAACAGGGGGAUAGCUCCGAGAAAUCGGGAUUAAUACCCCAUAGUAUUAUUGAUUGGCAUCGAUUAAUAAUUAAAGCUCCGGCGGUUAAAGAUGGGCAUGCGUGCCAUUAGCUAGUUGGUGAGGUAAAGGCUCACCAAGGCGAUGAUGGCUAGGGGUUCUGAGAGGAUUAUCCCCCACACUGGUACUGAGACACGGACCAGACUCCUACGGGAGGCAGCAGUAAGGAAUAUUGGGCAAUGGACGCAAGUCUGACCCAGCCAUGCCGCGUGCAGGAAGACGGCCCUAUGGGUUGUAAACUGCUUUUAUCAGGGAAUAACCCCCCGGAUGUAUCCGGGGCUGAAUGUACCUGAAGAAUAAGCAUCGGCUAACUCCGUGCCAG
Molecule: ribosomal RNA, 441 nt
Filed under: uncultured bacterium
Lineage: Bacteria
Description: bacterial SSU rRNA
Rfam family: Bacterial small subunit ribosomal RNA
Source: RNAcentral